Molecule: ribosomal RNA, 233 nt
Filed under: uncultured bacterium
Lineage: Bacteria
Description: partial 16S ribosomal RNA
Rfam family: Bacterial small subunit ribosomal RNA
Source: RNAcentral
GACGAACGCUGGCGGCGUGCUUAACACAUGCAAGUCGAGCGGUAAGGCCCUUUCGGGGGUACGACGAGCGGCGAACGGGUGAGUAACACGUGGGUGACCUGCCCUCAGCUCUGGGAUAAGCCUGGGAAACCGGGUCUAAUACUGGAUAUGACUCCAUGACGCAUGUUGGUGGGGUGGAAAGCCUUGUGCGGCUGAGGAUGGGCCCGCGGCCUAUCAGCUUGUUGGUGGGGUGA